CUACGGAAGGCAGCAGUGAGGAAUUUUUCGCAAUGGGCGAAAGCCUGACGAAGCAAUGCCGCGUGCAGGAAGAAGGCCUGUGGGUCGUAAACUGCUUUUCUUAGAGAAGAAGUUCUGACGGUAUCUGAGGAAUAAGCACCGGCUAACCCUGUGCCAGCAGCCGCGGUAAUACAGGGGGUGCAAGCGUUGUCCGGAAUGAUUGGGCGUAGAGCGUCUGUAGGUGGCUCGUAAAGUCUAAUGUCAAAUACCAGGGCUCAACCUUGGAUCGGCAUUAGAGCACUCACGAGCUUGAGUACGGUAGAGGCAGAGGGAACUCCAAGUGGAGCGGUGAAAUGCGUAGAGAUUUGGAAGAACACCAGAGGCGAAGGCGCUCUGCUGGGCCGAAACUGACACUGAGAGACGAAAGCUGGGGGAGCGAAUAGGAUUAGAUACCCCGGU
This 438-nucleotide ribosomal RNA is filed under the name uncultured bacterium. RNAcentral's name for it is "bacterial SSU rRNA". It matches the Rfam family "Bacterial small subunit ribosomal RNA", at positions 339 to 791 of the family's 1533-position model. The record is from RNAcentral.